Molecule: ribosomal RNA, 449 nt
Filed under: uncultured bacterium
Lineage: Bacteria
Description: partial 16S ribosomal RNA
Rfam family: Bacterial small subunit ribosomal RNA
Source: RNAcentral
CCUACGGGGGGCAGCAGUGGGGAAUUUUGGACAAUGGGCGCAAGCCUGAUCCAGCCAUUCCGCGUGAGUGAAGAAGGCCUUCGGGUUGUAAAGCUCUUUCGCAAGGGAAGAAAACUUAUCCUCUAACAUAGGAUGAGGUUGACGGUACCUUGAUAAGAAGCACCGGCUAACUACGUGCCAGCAGCCGCGGUAAUACGUAGGGUGCUACCGGGCGUCGGGCGUGCUCAGCGUGUUGCGUGAGUAGGCUGUGAAAUCCCCGAGCUCAACUUGGGAACUGCGUUUGAAACUACAAGACUAGAAUAGGUCAGAGGGGGGUAGAAUUCCACGUGUAGCAGUGAAAUGCGUAGAGAUGUGGAGGAAUAUCAAUGGCGAAGGCAGCCCCCUGGGAUCAUAUUGACGCUCAUGCACGAAAGCGUGGGGAGCAAACAGGAUUAGAUACCCCGGUAGUC